AUUGAACGCUGGCGGCAGGCCUAACACAUGCAAGUCGAACGAGUGGCGGACGGGUGAGUAAUGUCUGGGAAACUGCCUGAUGGAGGGGGAUAACUACUGGAAACGGUAGCUAAUACCGCAUACUAUUCGAGCGGCCAAUAUCGGAUUAGCUAGUUGGUGGGGUAAAGGCUCACCAAGGCGACGAUCCCUAGCGGGUCUGAGAGGAUGACCCGCCACACUGGAACUGAGACACGGCCCAGACUCCUACGGGAGGCAGCAGUGGGGAAUAUUGGACAAUGGGCGCAAGCCUGAUGCAGCCAUGCCGCGUGUAUGAAGAAGGCCUUCGGGUUGUAAAGUACUUUUAGCAGGGAGGCGGUACCCACAGAAGAAGCACCGGCUAACUACGUGCCAGCAGCCGCGGUAAUAC
This 406-nucleotide ribosomal RNA is filed under the name uncultured bacterium. Its description in RNAcentral is "partial 16S ribosomal RNA". It matches the Rfam family "Bacterial small subunit ribosomal RNA", at positions 30 to 526 of the family's 1533-position model. The record is from RNAcentral.